UGCAGUCGAGCGGAUGAAGGGAGCUUGCUCCUGGAUUCAGCGGCGGACGGGUGAGUAAUGCCUAGGAAUCUGCCUGGUAGUGGGGGAUAACGUCCGGAAACGGGCGCUAAUACCGCAUACGUCCUGAGGGAGAAAGUGGGGGAUCUUCGGACCUCACGCUAUCAGAUGAGCCUAUGUCGGAUUACCUAGUUGGUGGGGUAAAGGCCUACCAAGGCGACGAUCCGUAACUGGUCUGAGAGGAUGAUCAGUCACACUGGAACUGACACACGGUCCAUACUCCUACGGGAGGAAUCAGUGGGGAAUAUUGGACAAUGGGCGAAAGCCUGAUCCAGCCAUGCCGCGUGUGUGAAGAAGGUCUUCGGAUUGUAAAGCACUUUAAGUUGGGAGGAAGGGCAGUAAGUUAAUACCUUGCUGUUUUGACGUUACCAACAGAAUAAGCACCGGCUAACUUCGUGCCAGCAGCCGCGGUAAUACGAAGGGUGCAAGCGUUAAUCGGAAUUACUGGGCGUAAAGCGCGCGUAGGUGGUUCAGCAAGUUGGAUGUGAAAUCCCCGGGCUCAACCUGGGAACUGCAUCCAAAACUACUGAGCUAGAGUACGGUAGAGGGUGGUGGAAUUUCCUGUGUAGCGGUGAAAUGCGUAGAUAUAGGAAGGAACACCAGUGGCGAAAGCGACCACCUGGACUGAUACUGACACUGAUGUGCGAAAGCGUGA
Molecule: ribosomal RNA, 712 nt
Filed under: Pseudomonas aeruginosa
Lineage: Bacteria; Pseudomonadati; Pseudomonadota; Gammaproteobacteria; Pseudomonadales; Pseudomonadaceae
Description: bacterial SSU rRNA
Rfam family: Bacterial small subunit ribosomal RNA
Source: RNAcentral